AUACAAUUUCAUGGAACUUGCAACUUAAUUGCAAAGUUCAGUUUUGCUCCAAUGGGAAUCCGACGCCGAUGCCGAUGUCGAUGCCGAUGGAUGGCCCGUUGUUGUUUCUGUUGCUAUAAUUAAGAUUGUGGACUGUUGUCGCCGAUGUCUAGGCUUUUCAUCAACAACAAACACAAGCAGCGGCAACAGGCAGAGGCAGCGGCAGCGGCAGAGGCAGAGGCAGAGCCCAGAGCCAGCAACAGAGGCUGAGGCUGAGGCUGAGCCAUCACCUCCUCCACGCUUCUGGGUCAAUAAUCUGCGUCUGAGCUGGAUUGUUGUUGGCGCCCGCCUGCCGCACAUGUCAAUCAAUGGAGAUCCAAUUUUAGCACAAGUAAACAAUAUUUGCCCGAUCGAGCGGGAGGCAAAAGUGGAAGUCAGCUCAGUGGGGCCUCCCACAAGUGGGCGGGCGGCUUAUCGCCCACUGGCGCUGGGGCAUGGAUAGAGGAAAAAAACCAAAGGAGCUGCACUGCCGCACUGCCGCACUGCCACACUGCUGCGUUGCUUUGAUG
This 548-nucleotide long non-coding RNA is filed under the name Drosophila guanche. The record is from RNAcentral. Lineage: Eukaryota; Metazoa; Arthropoda; Insecta; Diptera; Drosophilidae.